UAUAAUUUUUGGUUAUUUAGUGUUUAAUGAAAAUUAAUUUAAAGUUUUUGUAUAUUUUAUUGAUAAAUUUUUUUUUGAUUAUAUAUAAUUUGUACUGUGAAGGUUAAUUAUUUUAUUUAUUUAAAUUGAAAGUAGAAUUAAAUUUUUGUACCUUGUGUAUCAGGGUUAAUUAAUAACUAUUUAUAUAUUUUAUUUAUCUCGAUUUCUUAAGAGUUAACUAAUUAUUUUAUUUAUUGUUAUAUAUCUAUAUAUAAUAAUUAGUUGGUAAUGAAAUGUUAAUCGUUUUAGAUGAUAUCUAGUUUUUCAGGAAAUAAAUUUAAUUUACAUUUUUUAAUUAAAUUUCUUAUUUUUUAGUUAUUUUUAUUAAUAAAAUGAAUAUUUAGGGGGAUAAGCUCUUAAUUAUAUUAUUAUAAGUUAUUUAAAGUUUAUAUUUUUUGUGGAUUUAAUGUUGAUUAAUAUUAUGAGUGUAUUAAAAUUUUAUUUAUAUAUUUGUAUUAUUUAUUAAUCUUUAAUUUUUUACUGAAAUUUUUUAUUUAAUAUUUAAAUAUUAGAAAUUAUGGUUAAAUUAGUAAAUAUUAAUUUAUAUUGAUUAGUAAUUUUAAGGAACUAGGCAACAAUUUGUUCGCUUGUUUAACAAAAACAUCUUUUCUUGUAUAGAAUAUGAAGUAUAACCUGCCCAAUGAAAUUUAAAGGGCCGCGGUAUUUUGACCGUGCAAAGGUAGCAUAAUCAUUAGUCUUUUAAUUGGAGGCUGGAAUGAAUGGUUGGACGAAACAAAUUCUUUCUUUUUAUUAUUUUUAUUGAAUUUAAUUAUUAAGUUAAAAGGCUUAAAUUAUUUUUUGGGACGAGAAGACCCUAUAGAGUUUCAUAUUUAUUUAAAUAUAUUUAGUUUGUAAAUAAUUAAUAUUUUAAUAAUUAUUUUAUUGGGGUGAUAGGGAGAUAAAUAAAACUCUUUUUAUUGUUUAAUAUUUAUAUAUAAAUUUUUGAUCCAUUAGUAUUGAUUAUAAGAUAAAAGUACCUUAGGGAUACCAGCGUAAUCUUUUUUAAGAGUUCAUAUCGACAAUAAGGAUUGCGACCUCGAUGUUGGAUUAAGAAAAAUUUUAGGUGUAGAAGCUUAAAAAUUAGGUCUGUUCGACCUUUAAAUUCUUACAUGAUCUGAUUUCAAACCGGCGUGAGCCAGGUUGGUUUCUAUCUAUUAUAAAUAUAAAUGCUUUAGGACGAAAGGACCAAGUAUU
Molecule: ribosomal RNA, 1233 nt
Filed under: Epilampra maya
Lineage: Eukaryota; Metazoa; Arthropoda; Insecta; Blattodea; Blaberidae
Description: 16S ribosomal RNA
Rfam family: Archaeal large subunit ribosomal RNA (bases 1023-1181)
Source: RNAcentral